CUUCCUUGUGGGUUGGCUGUGGCUCGGAAGUGGCGGCUUCCUGGAGCCUGUGUGUCCAUUCCCAACUUCCUUGCAUCUAGAGCCUGUUUACUAGCAUGUCACUGCCUAUCACACAAUAAGGCUGGUGAAAUUCUAUUGAAAUAAUCCAUGUAAAAUGCUCAGUGGAGUGCACGAUACAAGUCAAUUCACUUCAGAAAGUAUCUACCCCCGUGUCCCCAGCAGCACAUUUCAUCCACACCACGAAGCGAACAGAAAGAGACCUAAAGCUUGGUCUAUGUGCUUCUGCCACUCACGUCUGAGGUGUGAUGAAAGAGCACCUGGUUCCCUUAGAAUCACAGAAGUAAAGAAGUAGUUGGGAUUCAUCAGAGCAUGCUGUGCCAGCUUCUCAGAUGAGUGUAUCCUUGAAUACCCAGUAUCCAGAGCUUCUCUCUGCAUCCCUUUGACUUUUACCAGUAAGGCUCUUUUCCCUUUACUCAGAAUGAGCAUGCCAACCUUUUUCCAUUUUUUUUCCAAGUCUUGCUAGUAACCUUUUGUGGAACCCACCAGCUAACUCUUCUGAGAAGAGAGAAACUAGAGCUGUCUAUUGCAACUCUCUCAUCUUUCUACUCUGGUCUACAAAGGCUUCUGCAAUCCUACUCAACAUUUCUUUUCUCGGUACAUUUUCUCAGUGGAAAACAUUUCUGCCUUCAAUCCAAGACUAAAUUCUCUGCCUGUGUCCCUGGGCUUCUGUGAUGAGUAUUCUCUCUCCCUAGAACUCCCUUUUCUCACUGCCCUUGUAAUGGAACUCAGCUCCAGUCUUGCCUCCUCUAAGUAGGGUGUCUUCUCUUUUUCUGGGCACCAUUACACACUCAGGAACCUCAAAGGAAUGCAAACCCAUGGCAGCGAUUUCAUCUCCCCUAGCAUGUUAGGUUGGUGUCCUCAUUAGAACUAUUAUGCCCUCAAAUGAGGAAGCUUAUCUUAUUUGACAGAUGGAUAUUUGUCUGAAAUUUUCCAUAUUUGUUUUAAUACUUAUUAAAAGUGUGAUAAAUCUUUAUUGAGGAAAGUUCAGAAAACAGAAACCUAUAAGAACAUACAAAUAAUUACUGAUGUCCCACUUCAGAAAUGGUUACUCUUCAGUUGUGUAAAUUUCCCUCUAGUCAUUUUCUUUACCAAAUUUAUAGAAAUAACAUUCCAUUUUACAUUUGUAAAAUGUUUAUAAUUUAUAUCUUUCUUUCCGGCUCAACAUUAUAUUAUAAGCAGUAGUUCACAGCAUUAAAAGGCCUUCAAAUAUAUAAUAUUUAUUCCUAUAACUUAUUUAACCUUUCCAGAAAUGUUUUUUGUUGCUGUUGCAAAUUUCUACAUAUAUAUAAAGUUAUGGUAAAAAAAUUUUUAUAUAUAAAUACUGUCCACAUCUAUUAAGAUUUUUCCCUUAAAUCAGCAUUAUUGGCUCAAAGGUACAUACCUCAUAAAUAUUAUUAAAAAUGUUUAAGAUUCUUAACUAUACUUGGCAAAUUGUUUCCUAGAAGUUAGCACUAACUCGUAUUUUCAUGUGUAUCAUAUGAAAAUGACAAUGUCAGUGUCCACUCAUUAGUAUCAAUGACUAUUUUUGAAAUCUGCUAGUUUGAUUGGAAAAAGUUAGUAUCUGACUUUUAAACUGGCAUUUCCUUGAUAAUAAGUUGAAAAUUUGGCAUUUCCUUAAUAAGUUGAAAAUUUAUCAUUUACAGGUGUUAGUUAUUUGUAUAUCUGCUUUUGGUGAACUGUCUACAUUAGUAUUUUGGGAGGAGGUUUUUUUUUCUGCUGGUGUCUUGGCAAUGAACUCUUUAGGUAUG
This is a long non-coding RNA of Homo sapiens (human), 1808 nucleotides long. RefSeq lists it as uncharacterized. The record is from RefSeq and is a predicted model, not a curated record. The transcript has 4 exons. Lineage: Eukaryota; Metazoa; Chordata; Mammalia; Primates; Hominidae.